Molecule: non-coding RNA, 2318 nt
Organism: Hydra vulgaris (swiftwater hydra)
Lineage: Eukaryota; Metazoa; Cnidaria; Hydrozoa; Anthoathecata; Hydridae
Source: RefSeq, a predicted model, not a curated record
UUCUCCCAUCAAACUCAAGUAAAUAGCUUGUAAAUGGAGCAUGUAAUUAAAGCUUUAUAGCAAUUUUUUGUUGUUGUUGUUGUAACUCUUGUCUCAAUAGAACGAAAUGCUCGUGUUAAUGGUAUUUUUUAAUUAAAAAAGCGAGAUAAAAGUGAAAUGUAAAAGUAUAAAUAGUAUUAUUUUGAUAAACUCAUCUUAAACUUUAGGUUUUAUGUUUCUAAUUUAACAUUUUACAAAGUUAAUUCUUAUUUAUUAAUUUAUUAAUUUAUGCAAACUCUUUUUUUUUAUAAUACUUAUAAAACAAAAGAACUUAUUAUUUACUUUCUAAUACACAAUAUUACUUAAUUAGUUAACGUACAUAUAUAAAUUACGAGUUAACCGUACUUAGUUGCGUUUUCGCUUUUUUGGUUUACGUACAUAAAAUACGACUCACCUGAAGCAUUUAUCUGUCAAACUGGAUGAGUUAAGUUUCUCAAGUUGGCAGGCAAAGACUUAGACGAGAAUUGAGUUCAGUAAUAUUUUUCAAUAAUCUUAUUUUAAGACACAACAUAUCGAAUGAAGGACAAUAUGUGCAGUUGCUGCUUUUCACUCUUGACAAGUUGUUUAUGAUUAAUAUAAAAUUAUUUUAUAAGGUGUUAUAACAACUGUUGUUCUAGUAAGGCUGUUUUACACGUAAAUAAUUUAAUAAUCCCACAUCAUGUUAGCAAGUUGUUUCAGGCAUAAAUAAAAACAAAAUGGAGCGAGAAGACCAGCCUUUUAAAAUAUUUACAGAUAUCAUUCCAAACAGUGCUGGUAUUAACUUCUGUACUGGAAUUAACAUAUUUGCAAGCAGAAAAAAUAAUAUCAAGUCUGAAAAAACCUGCAAUUGUCUACUAUUGUCCAGAACAAUGUAGUUAGCAUGAUGACAUCAUUACAACAACAAUUCAAAUCUAAAUAUAAAAUAGAACAAGAUAAAUUUUUGGAACAGUUAAACUGUAAGAAGUGGAAAACGCUCAUGUUUGUCUAAGCGCCCGUUCAACAAAAUUACUUAAAUAAAACUUUUUGAUCUAAACUAUUUUAUGUGUUGUUUGUGCAAGUGUUAAGUCAAACACUGAACUAUCGACAAGCAAAAAAGUAAUAUUGACUCCUCACCAUCUUCAUUUAAAACAACCUAGUUUUAAUUAUGCCUAGCAAAGUAUUUGGUUCAUUAACGGGAGUUUUUACUUGAACUGUUAAUAGAUGAUUCGUUUACAUUGAUAAUUGAAUGUUCAGACGAAAUAGACGGCUAAUUCAAAAUAAAAAACUGAUAAGUUUUUGCAAGAAAAUACAAAUGAAAACAGAAAUAUAAUAUGAACUACAAAAAGUUGAGCGGAUCGUUGCAAUGGCAUUAUAAAAAAGAUAUCAUUCAAAAGAAAAAUUUUCACAUGGUAUAAAUAUAUAAAAAUUGAUAAAAAAUAUUCUAAAAAUUUCAAAGAAAAAAAUCAAUUUUUAUAAAGAAAACAAAAUUUUGAAGUUGACGAAUCGUUGAAGUUUGAUGCUGACCGUUAAAUGAUGAUAUAAGCUGGAAUGAGGAUGAUGAAGCAGGCUGAGAAGGUGCCUAUUUAAUCUCAUUGGCUUCCACCUAUCGAUGACUUGUAUUAAAACUGAUUAUGUCUCUCAGAUAAAGCAUGGAAUGGCUUCAAGUGUAUUCUGGUUUUACUUUGUUCUUUAAAUGUUGAUAGAAGUUUACUUAAUACUUCUAAUGGAAGAUUAAAUUUUUUUUCCUCAACUCAUCAUGGCUGCUAGUUAAAUGAUCUACAAUGGGCUCCUGUCCAAAACUUCAUAAACUUAUGCAUAAUAUUUCAACUGAUUUUUUAACUUCAUUAAUGAUCCUUUUUUUUAAACUUUAUUUUUGUUUUGAAAUGAAUUGAACUAUAAACGUUUAUCAAACUCUAUCAAAACCUUUUUUUCUGUUUUUAUACAACUACCUUAUAAACUUGUCUCUAAAUUUUCUCUAAGUUAUUCUAUUAACUUCUUUAUUUAUCUAUUAUCUCUUGUUUUUAAGUUAUCCUAUUAACUUAUCUUUAGUUUUUAGAUUUAAUUAUUUUGAUUUUAUUUUUAUUUCUUUUGAUUAUAGAUCUAACUAAUCUUAAAUUACUUGUAAAUUUUUGUAAUCAUAAAUUACUUCUAUCUAAUUUUUAAUUGGUACAAAGUAAUUGUAUGUUUACUUUUUGAUAGUUGUUCACGAUUACUGAUGAAAUGGGGCGUAGCAAUAAGGCAAAUAUUGUCUUCUUUUAGGCCCGGUCAUGUAGAUUUUAUUUAUAUAAUACGGCACUGUAUUCUUUUUUAAUGAUGAAAUA